UUGGGAAAGAGCUCAUACAGGCCU
This 24-nucleotide non-coding RNA is filed under the name Rattus norvegicus (Norway rat). The record is from RNAcentral. Lineage: Eukaryota; Metazoa; Chordata; Mammalia; Rodentia; Muridae.